RNAcentral lists this ribosomal RNA (426 nucleotides) under uncultured bacterium. Its description in RNAcentral is "partial 16S ribosomal RNA". It matches the Rfam family "Bacterial small subunit ribosomal RNA", at positions 354 to 796 of the family's 1533-position model. The record is from RNAcentral.
GUGGGGAAUCUUGCGCAAUGGGCGAAAGCCUGACGCAGCAACGCCGCGUGGGGGAUGAAGGCUCUCGGGUUGUAAACCCCUUUCAGCAGGGACGAAUCAAGACGGUACCUGCAGAAGAAGCCCCGGCUAACUACGUGCCAGCAGCCGCGGUAACACGUAGGGGGCAAGCGUUGUCCGGAUUUAUUGGGCGUAAAGAGCUCGUAGGUGGCUGAGUAAGUCGGAUGUCAAAUCCCCAGGAUCAACCUGGGAUCCCAUCCGAUACUGCUCUGGCUAGAGUCCGGUAGGGGAGCGUGGAAUUCCUGGUGUAGCGGUGAAAUGCGCAGAUAUCAGGAGGAACACCAGUGGCGAAGGCGGCGCUCUGGGCCGGUACUGACACUGAGGAGCGAAAGCGUGGGUAGCAAACAGGAUUAGAAACCCCUGUAGUCC